UGUGAAACUGCGAAUGGCUCAUUAUAUCAGUCAUAGUUUAUUUGAAAGUCCCUUACUACAUGGAUAACCGUAGUAAUUCUAGAGCUAAUACAUGCAUAAAAGCCCAACUGCCUCGGCGGACGGGCUGCAUUGAUUAGACCGAAACCAAUGCGUCUUC
Molecule: ribosomal RNA, 157 nt
Filed under: Adenocystis utricularis
Lineage: Eukaryota; Phaeophyceae; Ectocarpales; Adenocystaceae
Description: nuclear SSU rRNA
Rfam family: Eukaryotic small subunit ribosomal RNA
Source: RNAcentral